UGGGGAAUAUUGCACAAUGGGCGCAAGCCUGAUGCAGCCAUGCCGCGUGUAUGAAGAAGGCCUUCGGGUUGUAAAGUACUUUCAGCGGGGAGGAAGGCGAUAAGGUUAAUAACCUUGUCGAUUGACGUUACCCGCAGAAGAAGCACCGGCUAACUCCGUGCCAGCAGCCGCGGUAAUACGGAGGGUGCAAGCGUUAAUCGGAAUUACUGGGCGUAAAGCGCACGCAGGCGGUCUGUCAAGUCGGAUGUGAAAUCCCCGGGCUCAACCUGGGAACUGCAUUCGAAACCGGCAGGCUAGAGUCUUGUAGAGGGGGGUAGAAUUCCAGGUGUAGCGGUGAAAUGCGUAGAGAUCUGGAGGAAUACCGGUGGCGAAGGCGGCCCCCUGGACAAAGACUGACGCUCAGGUGCGAAAGCGUGGGGAGCAAACA
Molecule: ribosomal RNA, 427 nt
Filed under: uncultured bacterium
Lineage: Bacteria
Description: partial 16S ribosomal RNA
Rfam family: Bacterial small subunit ribosomal RNA
Source: RNAcentral